UACGAAGGGUGCUAGCGUUGUUCGGAAUUACUGGGCGUAAAGCGCGCGUAGGCGGCUUUUCAAGUCAGGGGUGAAAUCCUGGGGCUUAACCCCAGAAUUGCCUUUGAAACUGUAAAGCUUGAGUGUCGGAGGGGAUAGCGGAAUUGCUAAUGUAGAGGUGAAAUUCGUAGAUAUUAGCAGGAACACCGGUGGCGAAGGCGGCUAUCUGGACGACAACUGACGCUGAGGCGCGAAAGCGCGGGGAUCAAACAGG
This 253-nucleotide ribosomal RNA is filed under the name uncultured bacterium. Its description in RNAcentral is "partial 16S ribosomal RNA". It matches the Rfam family "Bacterial small subunit ribosomal RNA", at positions 524 to 776 of the family's 1533-position model. The record is from RNAcentral.